UUCUAGGUACCUCAGUGGUAGAGAAUCUGCCUGCCAAGCAGGAGGUCCAAUUUCGAUUCCUGGAUUGGGAA
Molecule: transfer RNA, 71 nt
Filed under: Ovis aries (sheep)
Lineage: Eukaryota; Metazoa; Chordata; Mammalia; Artiodactyla; Bovidae
Rfam family: tRNA
About the family: Transfer RNA (tRNA) molecules are approximately 80 nucleotides in length.
Source: Rfam by way of RNAcentral